This is a long non-coding RNA of Pseudophryne corroboree (corroboree frog), 296 nucleotides long. RefSeq lists it as uncharacterized. The record is from RefSeq and is a predicted model, not a curated record. NCBI's taxonomy places the organism in Eukaryota, Metazoa, Chordata, Amphibia, Anura, Myobatrachidae. The transcript has 3 exons.
AGCACUUCUCUGGAUGCCGUCAACCGGAUCCAAUUCUCACAGCCUGAUUCCUGAGUUUUGAGCUGUACUGAUGUUAACAAUGAUUCUGUGAAGGAAAGGAAAAGCUCUGCAAGUACUAAACUAUGUAACACUGCAUAAUGAACAUAUCGUGAAGCCAUUAAAAUUGCAUGGGGUAUAAUCUGAACAUCACAUUACCCUUUGAAAAAGCUGCCUGGAGCGGCGAAACGCGUAAGGAAACACUGCUCCUGACCAUUGGACAUUAUUUAAGACAGCUCCAUCUGGCUCCAAACCCAGGA